This 481-nucleotide ribosomal RNA is filed under the name uncultured bacterium. RNAcentral describes it as "partial 16S ribosomal RNA". It matches the Rfam family "Bacterial small subunit ribosomal RNA", at positions 28 to 507 of the family's 1533-position model. The record is from RNAcentral.
GAUGAACGCUGGCGGCGUGCUUAACACAUGCAAGUCGAACGAAGCAUUUGCGACAGAUUUUUUCGGAAUGAAGUUGCUUAUGACUGAGUGGCGGACGGGUGAGUAACGCGUGGGUAACCUGCCUUGUACUGGGGGAUAGCAGCUGGAAACGGCUGGUAAUACCGCAUAAGCGCACAAUGUUGCAUGACAUGGUGUGAAAAACUCCGGUGGUAUAAGAUGGACCCGCGUCUGAUUAGCUAGUUGGUGAGAUAACAGCCCACCAAGGCGACGAUCAGUAGCCGACCGGAGAGGGUGACCGGCCACAUUGGGACUGAGACACGGCCCAGACUCCUACGGGAAGCAGCAGUGGGGAAUAUUGCACAAUGGAGGAAACUCUGAUGCAGCGACGCCGCGUGAGUGAAGAAGUAAUUCGUUAUGUAAAGCUCUAUCAGCAGGGAAGAUAGUGACGGUACCUGACUAAGAAGCGCCGGCUAAAUACGUG